RNAcentral lists this microRNA (22 nucleotides) under Ascaris suum (pig roundworm). Its description in RNAcentral is "asu-miR-5350d-5p". Lineage: Eukaryota; Metazoa; Nematoda; Chromadorea; Rhabditida; Ascarididae. The record is from miRBase by way of RNAcentral.
CCUUUCUCGGGUAAGCUAAAUU